AAAGNAGUGAAGCGCAAUGACUACAUCCAUGCCUUGGUCGCCUAUUUCAACAUAGAGUUUACCCGAUGCCACAAACGAACUGGAUUCUCUACCAGUCCUGAAUCUCCCUACACCCACUGGAAACAGACAGUCUUUUACAUGGAAGACUAUCUAACAGUGAAGACAGGAGAGGAGAUAUUUGGCACCAUCGGCAUGAAGCCCAACGCCAA
Molecule: non-coding RNA, 209 nt
Organism: Thamnophis sirtalis
Lineage: Eukaryota; Metazoa; Chordata; Lepidosauria; Squamata; Natricidae
Source: RefSeq, a predicted model, not a curated record